Long non-coding RNA from Alligator sinensis (Chinese alligator), 287 nucleotides. RefSeq lists it as uncharacterized. The transcript is spliced from 3 exons. The record is from RefSeq and is a predicted model, not a curated record. NCBI's taxonomy places the organism in Eukaryota, Metazoa, Chordata, Crocodylia, Alligatoridae.
CUACUGAGAAGGAUUGGAUCCUGCCACUGCAAGUUCAUGGGAUAAUGAUUCCAUUCAAACUGGAUACAGGGGCUCAGUCCACCAACUAGCACAGAUGACAAGGAGAAGGAGGAUAAGAGGGAAGAAACCGCUUCCAAUACCAUUUCUCCUCCCUGCACUCAAACAUCUGUUUGUUUCUGAGACCCAAGAAGAUGCACUGCCAGUGACUUCUGCUGCUCCCGAUGCCAGUCAGUCACAUGCCCCCGAACCUCAGACCUCAGCUCACACUACAGCAAAACACUCAAGCG